AAUGAACGCUGGCGGCAUGCCUAACACAUGCAAGUCGAACGGUGCCUUCGGGCAUAGUGGCGCACGGGUGCGUAACGCGUGGGAAUCUACCCUUGGGUUCGGAAUAACUCAGAGAAAUUUGAGCUAAUACCGGAUGAUGACGUAAGUCCAAAGAUUUAUCGCCCAAGGAUGAGCCCGCGUAGGAUUAGCUUGUUGGUGAGGUAAAAGCUCACCAAGGCGACGAUCCUUAGCUGGUCUGAGAGGAUGAUCAGCCACACUGGGACUGAGACACGGCCCAGACUCCUACGGGAGGCAGCAGUGGGGAAUAUUGGACAAUGGGCGAAAGCCUGAUCCAGCAAUGCCGCGUGAGUGAUGAAGGCCUUAGGGUUGUAAAGCUCUUUUACCCGGGAUGAUAAUGACAGUACCGGGAGAAUAAGCUCCGGCUAACUCCGUGCCAGCAGCCGCGGU
This 447-nucleotide ribosomal RNA is filed under the name uncultured bacterium. Its description in RNAcentral is "bacterial SSU rRNA". It matches the Rfam family "Bacterial small subunit ribosomal RNA", at positions 29 to 521 of the family's 1533-position model. The record is from RNAcentral.